RNAcentral lists this ribosomal RNA (850 nucleotides) under uncultured bacterium. Its description in RNAcentral is "bacterial SSU rRNA". It matches the Rfam family "Bacterial small subunit ribosomal RNA", at positions 60 to 907 of the family's 1533-position model. The record is from RNAcentral.
AGUCGAGGGGCAGCGCAGUGUAGCAAUACAUGGGCGGCGACCGGCAAACGGGUGCGGAACACGUACGCAACCUUCCUUCAAGCGGGGCAUAGCUUUCGGAAACGAAAAUUAAUACCCCAUAGUAAUAUCUGAUGGCAUCUGAGGAUAUUUAAAGAUUUAUCACUUGAAGAUGGGCGUGCGCCUGAUUAGGUAGUUGGCGGGGUAACGGCCCACCAAGCCUACGAUCAGUAACUGGUGUGAGAGCACGACCAGUCACACGGGCACUGAGACACGGGCCCGACUCCUACGGGAGGCAGCAGUAAGGAAUAUUGGUCAAUGGACGCAAGUCUGAACCAGCCAUGCCGCGUGGAGGAUGAAGGUCCUCUGGAUUGUAAACUUCUUUUAUCGGAGAAGAAACCCCUGAAAUCUUUUAGGGUUGACGGUACCCGAUGAAUAAGCACCGGCUAACUCCGUGCCAGCAGCCGCGGUAAUACGGAGGGUGCAAGCGUUAUCCGGAUUCACUGGGUUUAAAGGGAGCGUAGGUGGGCUGUAAGUCAGUGGUGAAAUCUCCGGGCUUAACUCGGAAACUGCCGUUGAUACUAUCAGUCUUGAAUAUUGUGGAGGUAAGCGGAAUAUGUCAUGUAGCGGUGAAAUGCUUAGAUAUGACAUAGAACACCGAUAGCGAAGGCAGCUUGCUACACAAUUAUUGACACUGAGGCUCGAAAGCGUGUGGAUCAAACAGGAUUAGAUACCCUGGUAGUCCACGCCCUAAACGAUGGAUACUCGACAUAUGCGAUACACUGUAUGUGUCUGAGCGAAAGCAUUAAGUAUCCCACCUGGGAAGUACGACCGCAAGGUUGAAACUCAAAGG